Molecule: non-coding RNA, 951 nt
Filed under: Procetichthys kreffti
Lineage: Eukaryota; Metazoa; Chordata; Actinopteri; Beryciformes; Cetomimidae
Description: 12S rRNA
Rfam family: Bacterial small subunit ribosomal RNA
Source: RNAcentral
CAAAGGUUUGGUCCUAACUUUAUUAUCAACUUUAACUAAACUUACACAUGCAAGUAUCCGCACCCCCGUGAGAAUGCCCUCAACCCCCCGUCCGGGACUGAGGGGCUGGCAUCAGGCACGCUCCGCAGCCCAAGACGCCUUGCUUAGCCACACCCCCAAGGGAACCCAGCAGUGAUAAACAUUAAGCUAUAAGUGAAAACUUGACUUAGUAAAAGUAAAUACGGGCCGGUAAAACUCGUGCCAGCCACCGCGGUUAUACGAGAGACCCAAGUUGAUAGACACCGGCGUAAAGAGUGGUUAGGGCACAUUUAUAACUAAAGCCAAACACCACCAAAGCUGUUAUACGCACCCGAAGGUAUGAAGAACCACCACGAAAGUGACUUUAACACCCCCCCCUGAACCCACGAAAGCUACGUAACAAACUGGGAUUAGAUACCCCACUAUGCCUAGCCCUAAACAUCGAUAGCGCCCUACCCUGCUAUCCGCCCGGGAACUACGAGCAUCAGCUUGAAACCCAAAGGACUUGGCGGUGCUUUAGAUCCACCUAGAGGAGCCUGUUCUAGAACCGAUAACCCCCGUUCAACCUCACCCCCCCUUGUUUUCCCCGCCUAUAUACCGCCGUCGUCAGCUUACCCUGUGAAGGUCUUAUAGUAAGCAAAGUUGGCAAAACCCAAAACGUCAGGUCAAGGUGUAGCGCAUGGGGCGGAAAGAAAUGGGCUACAUUCCUUGCCACAAGGAACACGAAAGAUGUACUGAAACCAUACACCCGAAGGAGGAUUUAGCAGUAAGUGGAAAGUAGAGAGUUCCACUGAAAUCGGCCCUGAAGCGCGCACACACCGCCCGUCACUCUCCCCAAGCCCACCACACUGAAUAAUUAAUUAAUUCUUCCACCGCAAAGGGGAGGCAAGUCGUAACAUGGUAAGUGUACCGGAAGGUGUACUUGGUUAAAAC